AUUGAACGCUGGCGGCGUGCCUAACACAUGCAAGUCGAGCGGUAACAGGUGUAGCAAUACAUGCUGACGAGCGGCGGACGGGUGAGUAACGCUUGGGAAUCUGCCUAUCAGUGGGGGACAACCCGGGGAAACUCGGGCUAAUACCGCAUACGAUCUACGGAUGAAAGCCGGAGACCGCAAGGCCUGGCGCUGAUAGAUGA
This 200-nucleotide ribosomal RNA is filed under the name uncultured bacterium. RNAcentral's name for it is "partial 16S ribosomal RNA". It matches the Rfam family "Bacterial small subunit ribosomal RNA", at positions 30 to 228 of the family's 1533-position model. The record is from RNAcentral.